Molecule: long non-coding RNA, 411 nt
Organism: Mastomys coucha (southern multimammate mouse)
Lineage: Eukaryota; Metazoa; Chordata; Mammalia; Rodentia; Muridae
Exons: 3
Source: RefSeq, a predicted model, not a curated record
GCCACCUUCAGACAAGGAAGCUGAGGCUUGCAGAGCUUAACCAACUCGGGGUUAGUAAGGUCUGAGCCACACAGGAUACCACCCAAGUCUGGCGCAUACAGACACUCCAGGCUUAGCGUAGCUCUGGGACCUCAUCCUGAUGUUCCCCCUGGUUGCUAGUGUUGUGGAACGCAUCAGAAAGCAUGGCUGUUUCUGAGCCCUGGUCCUUAACGGUGUUCCCUGCUGCCACAGGAAGUCCUCUUCAGCCAGCUCUUACAGCCACGGCGAGGAAGGGUGUAAGGGAUCUUGUUCCACAGGAUCAGUCUGUACCUUUGAUUUUCCUUGAUUAUGAAAGUACACGGUGUAGUAGCCUCUCUGCCCUUGCAGCCUUCCCCUGAAAAGAAAAUUAAAGAAAAAAAUCUUGUCAUGGAA